This 928-nucleotide unclassified non-coding RNA is filed under the name Athalia rosae (coleseed sawfly). Its description in RNAcentral is "misc RNA ENSAEAG00005006599.1". The record is from RNAcentral. Lineage: Eukaryota; Metazoa; Arthropoda; Insecta; Hymenoptera; Athaliidae.
AAAAAAAAAUAUGUAUAAACCCAUUACAACCAGCUGACGGGAGGAGAAAGUUUCCUCCCGUACAACCUGCUGCACCUUUUCAUUUCAUUUUUUACAAUAAGAUUCGGCUAAUCAAUGGCGGAGAGUUCCAGAGGUUUAUGUAAUUAUGAAAAUAUGAUUCCAUCGUCCGAAGCGACAAGAAGCAGACCAGAAGUUCAUCGGAGGACCAUGAGAAUUAAUGAAAAAGGAAUUGUUUUGUGCAUAAAUUUGAAGCUGUAAGAAACUGACCUUCUAUUCUACCACCGGUACAACAAUUAUGACAGCAAAACAUUUCCGUAGCUGCCUCAUUCCUACGUUCUAAUAUGUAACGAGCUAUACAGGUAAAAAUAACACAACCGCUAUUGUAAUUCUUACGUCACUACUUUAUUUUUUGAGAACACGAAUACAGGCAUUGCGCAUCGGGCAUGCUUUUGCAGUUUACAAACUUUUCGAUAAUUUUUUACCCUAGAAUUAUCGGUCUCUUGAAGGCUCCGCAAACCGGCAGAUACGAACACGUUCUGUUCCUGUAUCUACUGUCAAAUGUCAACUAGCUACUAGGACAUCAUCUACGUGAAAUGUCGAAGUUCUCCGAAGUUCCCCCACUUUAUUACACCGAAGUUCCUCUCACAAUCUGCGGUUCCUCGUGUCUUUGCCAGAAAAGGUCGCAUCGGAUGAAAUGAUGGUUUUUUUUCUACCUUCCAAUUCCAAAUUUCUAAUCCAACCCAAAGAAUAUUACAACUUAUAUUAUUUAGGCAACUAAAAUUCUGCCGCUGCGAGUACCGUCUGUAGAUUUGAUCGUGUACGUGUGAAAGUAGAAAGCAUUGAAAACGGAUAUUUUGUUGUCGAGACCAAAAAUUAGGAUUUCAAGGUCAAAAGGUUGACACCCUUACGAAGUACACCCAAAAGGAAC